Non-coding RNA from Arvicanthis niloticus (Nile rat), 378 nucleotides. The record is from the annotation of a RefSeq genome assembly. Lineage: Eukaryota; Metazoa; Chordata; Mammalia; Rodentia; Muridae.
CACACAUAUCACACAGACAUGAGUGUGCCCACUCAGCUCCUGGCUUUGCUGCUGCUGUGGCUUACAGAUGCCAGAUGUGAUAUCCAGAUGACCCAGUCUCCAGCCUCCCUGUCUGCAUCUGUGGGAGAAAGUGUUUCCAUCACAUGUCUAGCAAGUGAGGACAUUGAUAGUAAUUUAGCAUGGUAUCAGCAGAAACCAGGGAAAUCUCCUCAGCUCCUGAUCUAUAAUGCAAACAGCUUGGAGGAUGGAGUGCCAUCAAGGUUCAGUGGCAGUGGAUCUGGCACACAGUAUUCUCUGAAGAUCAACAGAAUGCAGCCUGAAGAUGUUGCAACUUAUUUCUGUGAGCAGAGUUAUGACUAUCCUCCCACAGUGAUUUAA